RNAcentral lists this long non-coding RNA (1143 nucleotides) under Calidris pugnax (ruff). RNAcentral describes it as "lncRNA (ENSCPUG00000002712.1)". Lineage: Eukaryota; Metazoa; Chordata; Aves; Charadriiformes; Scolopacidae. The record is from RNAcentral.
UGGGGCGGGACGGCGGGCGGCGGUGCCCUCCCGCCUGAGGGGCCGCGGUGGAGGGCAGUAAGGACCAGCGCCACCCGAGGGGACACUGAGGGAGGGCCACGGGGGGCGUUCGAAUCGGAACAAAAGGGGGAAGAAAAGCGAUCGUGUGAGGGCGGUGAGACCCCUCGGCCCGCAGGGAACGCGGCCCGGCCCCUGCCUUGGGCGCGGUGAGUUCCCCUCAGGAACGCUGGUGGGCCCGGCUCAGGAGCGGCCCCUGCGUGGGAAGGCGACACCUCGGAGGUUGGCUCUCCUGCCCCAUGAAGUGACAGGGUAAAAACCACCAAGUUUAUUUUGGUUUUCCACGUCUAAAGGUGGCAGGAUUCAAAGCACGGGCGGCUGGAAUGUGGGAGAACCACAGCCUGGUUCUUGGUGAGGCGCGAGGUGCCAGUAAGCGGUGUGCGGGUCUGCGGGAGAGCCCAGCAGCCCGCUUCGCCCCGGCCACGAACACCCAGGGGACAGACACCUUUGUGCCCAGAUUUCCAGAGAGAUUCAAAAUCCUUGGGGAGCUCCAGUCUUACACAUGGGUUAUCGUAAUCCUGGUGCAGCACAUCCAGAAAUCUCUCAGAAGCAGCAUCUGAGCAAGGUCAGCUUCAGCCAGGGUUGGAGUUGGAAAUGGUCAGCAUCGCUUCCCACUAGCACCACACAACACCAGCUCCACUGCUGCCCCACGGUUCUUGCAAGAUCGCCUUUGGGCUACUAUCCCUCCUUUUACUACAAGCAGCAUCGUCAAGGCGGCGUGCAGCACACAGCCCGCACCAGGGGUGGUACCCAGGAGUCUGUUCCUUCUGAGCCCGGGCCAAACCCAGUCAGUGCAGUCCCAGAUGACAGGCUUAUCUUCAGGAAUUUCCUUUAUAUAGGACACCAAGUGUUCACCGCCGAAAGGCAGCGAUCCCUAUGUGAAACAUGGCAGCCACUCAGUAACGCGGAGGUUGGGAGGCGAUGGUGAGGAACCACAGAAAGAGCCAACAAAACGUGCCUUGCCGAGCGGGAACUGCUUUCCAGACCGAGAGGCAGGGCUGGUUCAAGCAAGUGUCAGUCCGUGAUCCUUUCCACCGUCACCACAGCAGGAGGUCAGCUGUCCCCAAAACCCUUCUGAAGAAAGAG